CAGCAGCCGCGGGAAUACGAAGGGUGCAAGCGUUAAUCGGAAUUACUGGGCGUAAAGGGUGCGUAGGCGGUUGUUUAAGUCUGUUGUGAAAUCCCCGGCCUCAACCUGGGAAUGGCAAUGGAAACUGGACGGCUAGAGUGUGUCAGAGGAUGGUGGAAUUCCCGGUGUAGCGGUGAAAUGCGUAGAGAUCGGGAGGAACAUCAGUGGCGAAAGCGGCCAUCUGGGACAACACUGACGCUGAAGCACGAAAGCGUGGGGAGCAAACAGGAUUAGAUACCCGAGUAGUCCCUGUCUCUUAUAC
This 301-nucleotide ribosomal RNA is filed under the name uncultured bacterium. RNAcentral describes it as "partial 16S ribosomal RNA". It matches the Rfam family "Bacterial small subunit ribosomal RNA", at positions 509 to 807 of the family's 1533-position model. The record is from RNAcentral.